UACGUAGGGCGCAAGCGUUGUCCGGAAUUAUUGGGCGUAAAGAGCUCGUAGGCGGCUUGUCACGUCGAUUGUGAAAGCCCGAGGCUUAACCUCGGGUCUGCAGUCGAUACGGGCUAGCUAGAGUGUGGUAGGGGAGAUCGGAAUUCCUGGUGUAGCGGUGAAAUGCGCAGAUAUCAGGAGGAACACCGGUGGCGAAGGCGGGUCUCUGGGCCGAAACUGACGCUGAGGAGCGAAAGCGUGGGGAGCGAACAGG
This 253-nucleotide ribosomal RNA is filed under the name uncultured bacterium. RNAcentral's name for it is "partial 16S ribosomal RNA". It matches the Rfam family "Bacterial small subunit ribosomal RNA", at positions 524 to 776 of the family's 1533-position model. The record is from RNAcentral.